AGCGAACGCUGGCGGCGUGCCUAACACAUGCAAGUCGAACGUGAACGGCUUCGGCCUAGUAAAGUGGCGUACGGGUGAGUAACGCGUAGGUAAUCUACCCCAGAAUCUGGAAUAACCUGCCGAAAGGCGGGCUAAUACUGGAUAGAGCGAUGGAAUCCGUAAUUGGGUUUUUCGGGAAAGGGGGGUCGUAAGAUCUCUCGUUUUGGGAUGAGCCUGCGUCUCAUUAGCUAGUUGGUGGGGUAAAGGCCCACCAAGGCUUUGAUGGGUAGCUGGUCUG
Molecule: ribosomal RNA, 277 nt
Filed under: uncultured bacterium
Lineage: Bacteria
Description: partial 16S ribosomal RNA
Rfam family: Bacterial small subunit ribosomal RNA
Source: RNAcentral